GGAAGACAAUCUUGCUGUAAUAUCUGUCACCCCACUGAUAACCAGGCUUGAUUUGGCUGGCUGGCUAGGCAAGUGGAGUCCUCUUCCUCCAUCAAUGCUCCAUGUGAAUGUCUUCUGAAGCUGUAAGCUCGGUCAAAGAGUAUGACCACCCCGAUACAGGAGGACCAUGCCUGUGCUCUCCUUCUAGAACCUCCAAACAAGCUCUCAACAUCUUUUAUGUCUGGGCCUGCCAGAUAACUCAGCAGACUAUAGCACCUGCCUAGGCAGACGGAGGGAUCAGGGUUUAAUCCCCGGUGU
Molecule: unclassified non-coding RNA, 297 nt
Organism: Octodon degus (degu)
Lineage: Eukaryota; Metazoa; Chordata; Mammalia; Rodentia; Octodontidae
Gene: 7SK
Rfam family: 7SK RNA
About the family: 7SK was discovered as an abundant small nuclear RNA in the mid-70s but a possible function has only recently been suggested. Two independent studies have found that 7SK RNA binds the CDK9/cyclin T complex (known as elongation factor P-TEFb).
Source: Ensembl